UACGUAGGGUGCGAGCGUUUGUCCGGAAUUAUUGGGCGUAAAGAGCUUGUAGGCGGUUUGUCGCGUCUGCUGUGAAAAUCCGGGGCUCAACCCCGGACUUGCAGUGGGUACGGGCAGACUAGAGUGUGGUAGGGAGACUGGAAUUCCGUGGUGAUAGCGGUGAAAUGCGCAGAUAUCAGGAGGAACACCGAUGGCGAAGGCAGGUCUCUGGGCCAACUACUGACGC
This 226-nucleotide ribosomal RNA is filed under the name uncultured bacterium. RNAcentral's name for it is "partial 16S ribosomal RNA". It matches the Rfam family "Bacterial small subunit ribosomal RNA", at positions 524 to 746 of the family's 1533-position model. The record is from RNAcentral.